This 565-nucleotide ribosomal RNA is filed under the name uncultured Glomeromycotina. RNAcentral describes it as "SSU rRNA". It matches the Rfam family "Eukaryotic small subunit ribosomal RNA", at positions 548 to 1114 of the family's 1831-position model. Lineage: Eukaryota; Fungi; Glomeromycota. The record is from RNAcentral.
UUGGAGGGCAAGUCUGGUGCCAGCAGCCGCGGUAAUUCCAGCUCCAAUAGCGUAUAUUAAAGUUGUUGCAGUUAAAAAGCUCGUGGUUGAAUUUCGGGGUCAGUAGGUUGGUCAUGCCACUGGUAUGUACUGGUCUCACUGAUUCCUCCUUCCUGAUGAGCCGUAAUGCCAUUAAUUUGGUGUUGCGAGGAAUCUGGACUGUUACUUUGAAAAAAUUAGAGUGUUUAAAGCAGGCUAACGCUUGAAUACAUUAGCAUGGAAUAAUGAAAUAGGACGUUCGAUCUUAUUUUGUUGGUUUCUAAGAUUGACGUAAUGAUUAAUAGGGAUAGUUGGGGGCAUUAGUAUUCAAUUGUCAGAGGUGAGAUUCUUGGAUUUAUUGAAGACUAACUACUGCGAAAGCAUUUGCCAAGGAUGUUUUCAUUAAUCAAGAACGAAAGUUAGGGGAUCGAAGACGAUCAGAUACCGUCGUAGUCUUAACCAUAAACUAUGCCGACUAGGGAUCGGAUGAUGUUAAUUUUUUAAUGACUCAUUCGGCGCCUUACGGGAAACCAAAGUGUUUGGGUUC